This is a small nuclear RNA of Gracilinanus agilis (Agile Gracile Mouse Opossum), 105 nucleotides long. The record is from RefSeq and is a predicted model, not a curated record. Lineage: Eukaryota; Metazoa; Chordata; Mammalia; Didelphimorphia; Didelphidae.
GCUUGCUUCAGCAGCCCAUAUGCUAAAAAUUAGAACGAUACAGAAAAGAUUAGCAUGGCCCCCCUCAAGGAUGAUUCGCAAAUUCGUGAAGCAUUCCAUAUUUUA